UACAGAGGGGGCGAGCGUUAUUCGGAAUUAUUGGGCGUAAAGGGCGCGUAGGCGGCCCGGUAAGUCGAAGGUGAAAUCCCCGAGCUCAACUUGGGAACUGCCUUCGAUACUGCCAGGCUUGAGUCCGGGAGGGGAGAGUGGAAUUCCCAGUGUAGCGGUGAAAUGCGUAGAUAUUGGGAGGAACACCGGUGGCGAAGGCGGCUCUCUGGACCGGUUCUGACGCUGAGGCGCGAAAGCGUGGGUAGCAAACAGGAUUAGAAACCCUUGUAGU
Molecule: ribosomal RNA, 271 nt
Filed under: uncultured bacterium
Lineage: Bacteria
Description: partial 16S ribosomal RNA
Rfam family: Bacterial small subunit ribosomal RNA
Source: RNAcentral